This 301-nucleotide ribosomal RNA is filed under the name Ornithodoros sp. ALB-2015. RNAcentral describes it as "partial 16S ribosomal RNA". It matches the Rfam family "Bacterial large subunit ribosomal RNA", at positions 2090 to 2619 of the family's 2925-position model. Lineage: Eukaryota; Metazoa; Arthropoda; Arachnida; Ixodida; Argasidae. The record is from RNAcentral.
CCUAUGAAUUUUUUCAAAGACCUUUCUUGUUUGGAUCUUUGAAAAAAUUCAAGAAAGGUUUUUGAUUAAUUGGGGUGAUUUUUAAAUUUUAAAAAACUUUAGAAGUGUAUUAUUAGAUCCAAUAUUAUUGAUGGUUUAAAAAAAAUACUCUAGGGAUAACAGCGUUAUUACUUUGGAUAGUUCAUAUAGAUAAAGUAGAUUGCGACCUCGAUGUUGGAUUAGGAUACCUUUAUUAAUGAAGAAGUUAUAAAAGGAGGUUUGCUCAACCUUCAAAUUCCUACAUGAUCUGAGUUCAGACCGG